This 492-nucleotide ribosomal RNA is filed under the name uncultured bacterium. RNAcentral describes it as "partial 16S ribosomal RNA". It matches the Rfam family "Bacterial small subunit ribosomal RNA", at positions 29 to 507 of the family's 1533-position model. The record is from RNAcentral.
AGUGAACGCUGGCGGUAGGCCUAACACAUGCAAGUCGAACGGCAGCACAGUAAGAGCUUGCUCUUACGGGUGGCGAGUGGCGGACGGGUGAGGAAUACAUCGGAAUCUACUUUUUCGUGGGGGAUAACGUAGGGAAACUUACGCUAAUACCGCAUACGACCUACGGGUGAAAUCAGGGGAUCUUCGGACCUUGCGCGAUUGAAUGAGCCGAUGUCGGAUUAGCUAGUUGGCGGGGUAAAGGCCCACCAAGGCGACGAUCCGUAGCUGGUCUGAGAGGAUGAUCAGCCACACUGGAACUGAGACACGGUCCAGACUCCUACGGGAGGCAGCAGUGGGGAAUAUUGGACAAUGGGCGCAAGCCUGAUCCAGCCAUACCGCGUGGGUGAAGAAGGCCUUCGGGUUGUAAAGCCCUUUUGUUGGGAAAGAAAAGCAGCAGGUUAAUACCCCGCUGUCCUGACGGUACCCAAAGAAUAAGCACCGGCUAACUUCGUG